CAAGUCGAACGAGAAAGUUCCUUCGGGAGCGAGUAAAGUGGCGGACGGGUGAGUAACGCGUAGGAAUCUACCUUUCAGUGGGGGAUAGCUCGGGGAAACUCGAAUUAAUACCGCAUACACCCUUCGGGGGAAAGGGGGCCUCUCCUUGGAAGCUCUCGCUGUUAGAUGAGCCUGCGUGAGAUUAGCUUGUUGGUAAGGUAAUGGCUUACCAAGGCUACGAUCUCUAGCUGGUCUGAGAGGACGAUCAGCCACACUGGGACUGAGACACGGCCCAGACUCCUACGGGAGGCAGCAGUAGGGAAUAUUGGACAAUGGGGGCAACCCUGAUCCAGGCAUGCCGCGUGUGUGAAGAAGGCCUUAGGGUUGUAAAGCACUUUAAGUGAGGAAGAAAAGAUUUAAAUUAAUACUUUAAGUCCCUGACAUUAUUCACAGAAUAAGGACCGGCUAACUCCGUGCCAGCAGCCGCGGUAAUACGGAGGGUCCAAGCGUUAAUCGGAAUUACUGGGCGUAAAGCGCGCGUAGAUGGUUUAUUCAGUUGGGUGUGAAAUCCCUGGGCUCAACCUAGGAACUGCAUUCAAAACUUAUAAACUAGAGUACGAAAGAGGAGAGUAGAAUUCAUGGUGUAGCGGUGAAAUGCGUAGAGAUCAUGAGGAAUACCAGUGGCGAAGGCGACUCUCUGGUUCGAGACUGACAUUGAGGUGCGAAAGCGUGGGUAGCAAACAGGAUUAGAUACCCUGGUAGUCCACGCCGUAAACGAUGAGAACUAGCCGUUGGAUCUUUAGAUUCAGUGGCGCAGCUAACGCAUUAAGUUCUCCGCCUGGGGAGUACGGCCGCAAGGCUAAAACUCAAAUGAAUUGACGGGGGCCCGCACAAGCGGUGGAGC
RNAcentral lists this ribosomal RNA (883 nucleotides) under uncultured bacterium. RNAcentral describes it as "bacterial SSU rRNA". It matches the Rfam family "Bacterial small subunit ribosomal RNA", at positions 58 to 938 of the family's 1533-position model. The record is from RNAcentral.